This 1115-nucleotide ribosomal RNA is filed under the name Micrococcus luteus. Its description in RNAcentral is "bacterial SSU rRNA". It matches the Rfam family "Bacterial small subunit ribosomal RNA", at positions 202 to 1348 of the family's 1533-position model. The record is from RNAcentral. Lineage: Bacteria; Bacillati; Actinomycetota; Actinomycetes; Micrococcales; Micrococcaceae.
AGAGUUUAAUUACGACUCUAGCACGAACUUCCAGCUCUAUACAGACUUUGUUGGUGAGGGUAAUGGCUCACCAAAGGUGAGCGACCGGGUUAGCUGGCCUCGAACACGUUAGCGCGGGCUGACACUGCGACUAGAACACGAUCUGGACUUCUAUCGGAAGGCAGCAGUCGCGAAUUAUUGCAUCAUGGGCUGCAAGCUUGAUGCAGCGAUCGCCGCUGAAGGGAUGACGGGCUUUCGGGUGUAAACCUCUUUCAGUAGGGAAGAAGCGAAAGUGACGUUCCUGCAGAAGAAGCACGGCUAACUACGUGCCAGCAGCCGCGGUAAUACGUAGGGUGCGAGUGUUAUCCGGAAUUAUUGGGCGUAAAGAGCUCGUAGGCGGUUUGUCGCGUCUGUCGUGAAAGUCCGGGGCUUAACCCCGGAUCUGCGGUGGGUACGGGCAGACUAGAGUGCAGUAGGGGAGACUGGAAUUCCUGGUGUAGCGGUGGAAUGCGCAGAUAUCAGGAGGAACACCGAUGGCGAAGGCAGGUCUCUGGGCUGUAACUGACGCUGAGGAGCGAAAGCAUGGGGAGCGAACAGGAUUAGAUACCCUGGUAGUCCAUGCCGUAAACGUUGGGCACUAGGUGUGGGGACCAUUCCACGGUUUCCGCGCCGCAGCUAACGCAUUAAGUGCCCCGCCUGGGGAGUACGGCCGCAAGGCUAAAACUCAAAGGAAUUGACGGGGGCCCGCACAAGCGGCGGAGCAUGCGGAUUAAUUCGAUGCAACGCGAAGAACCUUACCAAGGCUUGACAUGUUCUCGAUCGCCGUAGAGAUACGGCAGGUGGUGCAUGGUUGUCGUCAGCUCGUGUCGUGAGAUGUUGGGUUAAGUCCCGCAACGAGCGCAACCCCAGCACGUAGUGGUGGGGACUCAUGGGAGACUGCCGGGGUCAACUCGGAGGAAGGUGAGGACGACGUCAAAUCAUCAUGCCCCUUAUGUCUUGGGCUUCACGCAUGCUACAAUGGCCGGUACAAUGGGUUGCGAUACUGUGAGGUGGAGCUAAUCCCAAAAAGCCGGUCUCAGUUCGGAUUGGGGUCUGCAACUCGACCCCAUGAAGUCGGAGUCGCUAGUAAUCGCAGA